UUGUUUUACAGAAUGAACUUCAUGAGCGUAUAACAAUACCAGACACACUGCACUCGUAAACAUGGCAUCUUCGAGCGGAAGGCCAAGGAAACGAAGGCCGGAAUUCUCCGGUAUGGAGCAGCCGCCUCUUAUCAAACAGCUCAGAGGCAUUCUGUCAAAGUACCCAGACGGCGGACAGAUUCUUAAAGAAUUGAUUCAAAAUGCCGAUGAUGCGGGUGCGUCGGAGUUGAAGAUUAUGCUUGAAAGCAGGAGGAUUAACAGAAAUUUGACGGACGAAUCUGCAGAGUUUACGAAAUUCUUUCAGG
Molecule: long non-coding RNA, 305 nt
Organism: Dreissena polymorpha
Lineage: Eukaryota; Metazoa; Mollusca; Bivalvia; Myida; Dreissenidae
Exons: 3
Source: RefSeq, a predicted model, not a curated record